UUUGUAUAAUUAAAAUGUUCUGGCGGAGGAAUCCGGUUAAAUUCCGGAGCUGCCCCGCAACGGUGAAGUUCCCGCGCUAUCAUGCGCGUGGGCUAAGCCCGGUCUACCGCCGGAACUGUCGCAGCCUGCGAGGGACGGCCUUUUU
RNAcentral lists this small RNA (145 nucleotides) under Elusimicrobiota bacterium. The record is from RNAcentral. Lineage: Bacteria; Pseudomonadati; Elusimicrobiota.